RNAcentral lists this ribosomal RNA (440 nucleotides) under uncultured bacterium. RNAcentral's name for it is "partial 16S ribosomal RNA". It matches the Rfam family "Bacterial small subunit ribosomal RNA", at positions 338 to 795 of the family's 1533-position model. The record is from RNAcentral.
CCUACGGGUGGCAGCAGUGGGGGAUAUUGCACAAUGGGGGGAACCCUGAUGCAGCGACGCCGCGUGGGGGAAGAAGCGCCUCGGCGCGUAAAGCCCUGUCAGCAGGGAAGAAAAUGACGGUACCUGAAGAAGAAGCCCCGGCUAACUACGUGCCAGCAGCCGCGGUAAUACGUAGGCGGCAAGCGUUAUCCGGAUUUACUGGGUGUAAAGGGGGCGCAGUCGGAGUUGCAAGCCAGGAGUGAAAUCCCGGGGCCCAACGCCGGGACUGCUCGUGGAACUGCGUGGCUAGAGGGCAGGAGGGGUAGGCGGAAUGCAUGGUGUAGCGGUGAAAUGCGUAGAGAUCAGGAGGAGCACCGGUGGCGAAGGCGGCCUGCUGGACUGCAACUGACGUUGAGGCCCGAAAGCGUGGGGAGCAAACAGGAUUAGAUACCCCAGUAGUC